Molecule: transfer RNA, 65 nt
Filed under: Penenirmus auritus
Lineage: Eukaryota; Metazoa; Arthropoda; Insecta; Psocodea; Philopteridae
Description: tRNA-Phe
Source: RNAcentral
ACCAAGUUAGCUUAAGGUUGAAAGUUUGACUUUGAAGAGGUCAGGAUAGGAAUUACUACUUGGUA